Molecule: ribosomal RNA, 234 nt
Filed under: Triticum aestivum (bread wheat)
Lineage: Eukaryota; Viridiplantae; Streptophyta; Magnoliopsida; Poales; Poaceae
Description: partial small subunit ribosomal RNA
Source: RNAcentral
AUGGGUGUCUUCAUCAAGGUGCCAGUCCUAUGCCUGCUGCUGCUGCUCAUGCCACUCCUUUCGAUCAUCCCAGGGUCUGAUGGUCUACAUUGUGCGGAACCCAGCAUGACAUAUACUGGUCCUUGUGAGGAUCGGCCAUGCGUUGAGCACUGCCGCAAGGAGUAUUACACCUUCGGGUUGUGCAUCAGUUAUGCGGGGACGAACGACGUGAAGCGGUGCUUCUGCUGUAGCUGA